CUCGCAGAAGAAGCACCGGCUAACUCCGUGCCAGCAGCCGCGGUAAUACGGAGGGUGCGAGCGUUAAUCGGAAUUACUGGGCGUAAAGCGUACGCAGGCGGUUAUUUAAGUCAGAUGUGAAAUCCCCGGGCUCAACCUGGGAACUGCAUUUGAAACUGGAUAACUAGAGUGCGACAGAGGGUGGUAGAAUUUCAGGUGUAGCGGUGAAAUGCGUAGAGAUCUGAAGGAAUACCAAUGGCGAAGGCAGCCACCUGGGUCGACACUGACGCUCAUGUACGAAAGCGUGGGUAGCAAACAGGAUUAGAUACCCUGGUAGUCCACGCCGUAAACGAUGUCUACUAGCAGUUUGCCUCUUAAGAGGU
RNAcentral lists this ribosomal RNA (362 nucleotides) under uncultured bacterium. Its description in RNAcentral is "bacterial SSU rRNA". It matches the Rfam family "Bacterial small subunit ribosomal RNA", at positions 478 to 840 of the family's 1533-position model. The record is from RNAcentral.